RNAcentral lists this long non-coding RNA (39786 nucleotides) under Solanum tuberosum (potato). Its description in RNAcentral is "long non-coding RNA (STUB_LNC008043)". The record is from RNAcentral. Lineage: Eukaryota; Viridiplantae; Streptophyta; Magnoliopsida; Solanales; Solanaceae.
UUUUUCAAAGUAGUGUGAUGGGAUGAGUCUUUAGCGGUUAAGCUGAGGAAGUAGACAAAGGUAUUUAAGUUUGUCCCAGGAAAAGUUCAGUACUACUGCUGCUAUAUAUGCAGAGUACAAACUGAAUUACUACAUGGAAACACGAAUAUUCAAUUAUUACACAUAACAAUAGAAUCCAAUUUCUAUAUAUAUUGAUGAGAGUACUCACACCAAUGGCAUGGAAUAUAUACCAACAAAAUCUUAUCGUUAAAUAAAACAGUUCCUGAAAGGUUAUAUACAAGAUAUUUGGGUGAAACAGAAGCUAAGGAUGAAAAGACAUACAAGCACUCACGAUGCCUUCCAGUUGUUUGAACAUAAUUACCCAAAGGGGACGAGACUUUCAACAUAACAAUAAAUGCCACUGAUGUUGCUUCCCUUAGGAAGCCCCUUGAUUUUUAAUACCCUCCAACUCUUUCUUGUGACAUCAUAACACAAACAACAUAAAUCACCUCGACUUAAAGUUCACAACGAAUACAAUCUCUCCAUGACGGUCCAUGAAGAAUGAUGCAAAUCUAGGCUCUCUAGUUUUCCAUAUCAAGGGAACACCAAUUAUUUGUCUCUCCCAUUCUCUUUUUGGAGUCUUCUCUAAAAUCCAUAAGUCAAAGUACCCACUGACCCAUUUUCUGUAAUCGAUGACCCCUAAUUUACCCUUCACCUCUAUCAAAUGCAACUAUAGAUAAGUCAUCAGGUAUAGCAAACUGAUAGAUGACUCCACUAAUGCAAACACUGGGCAUAUAAUACGGAAUACAAGGCAAAAUGUGCUGACUCUCUCUCCAUGAUUUGUUUAUGCCUAAUGUGAAAACCCCGUAUUUUGUGUACCUUUCUCGAGAAAGAUGUGUUGUCAAGAGAACUUUGUACUUGUUUUCUUUCGGCUCAAAACCUAAUGAAUAUUUAUUCCAGCAUUUACCUUCAAUUGGGUCGAGCAGAAAUCUUACUUCUUUUGUGUUGGGAUUGAAAAUUGCAGCAGGUCACAUAUUUGAUGAAUCCCAACCGCAAAAUAAACCAUUAAUACAAUCCAAACAAGAAUAUGCAGGGUCAGUAGGGACACAGUUGUAAAGACUAUCAAAUCCGUCAACUUGAAGAACCGAGGUAGAGGCUUUUCCAUAUUUCUUUUUCUUUUCCUCUGCAGUGUAAUAAGCACUUACUCCGUGCAAAAGGAAUUCUAUCCCACCAGAACGACAUCUAUGGAUAUCCAAAAAAUCUGAUUCGGAUACCAUCGAAUUACAAAAUCUGAAAACACACUUGAAACGCAUUAACGAAUCAGAAGGAAGCCAUGAGAAUAUUUCAAACAUUAUUUCUUGAGGAAUUGAUACUAUUUUGCCGGCAGAAUUCAUUGUGUUUAGAAUAUUGAAGGCAGACGGCUAAAAUUUACUGAUGUUCUUUUUGCCUCAUUUCCGGUAAGACUUUUAUUUAUAAUCUUUUUGCCUCUCUGUUUCCUUGUAAGACUCUUAUUUCUUGUUGUUUUCUUUCUAGUACAUUAGAAUUAGGAUUGCCCAAAAUAUUGAACCUUUUUUUUUUUGUUUUAAAAUCCUAAACACAAUAUUAUUGGGAAAAAAUUGAACCUUUUUUUUUUUUGGGUUUUAAAACCCUAACCACACAAUAUUGAGUUAGGGGCACGAUUUUAUUAGAAUUCUUUUGGCCUUAAACCUCUUUUCAAUCAUCAAGAUGAGUUGAGAUUAAUUGUUUAUACUCUCUUCAUUUUAAUUUGUUUAUCUGGUUUUGACCUGAUAGAAAGUUUAAUCUGACCCACCCAUUUUUUCAUCAUAUGAUGUUGUUUCAUUAAGCAUUUGAGUUUUACAAGUUCAAUCUUGUGCUACUACUAAGGACUAUGCUAUGAAAAAAUAAAUUAUUCUACUGAUAAACAGACACGAGACACAACUUAUUUUAGUUACCAAGUUCAAAAAUAUUAUUGUACAGAUUCAUGAUGGUGUUUCAUUAAAAGAUGUAAGAAACAUCAGUAAACCAUGGACCAAAGUUUGUUUUGUUAACUGAACCAGUACCACAGGCAAUUGAUUCACAUCGAUGGUGAUGAUUAAGUACUUGCUAACUAUCAGAAGAAGAUGAGGAAAACUAUAAAAGCAAUAGAGGUGUCUAUGUUGACUUUGCCAGCAUCGGAGACAAUCGUGGAGUCAUUUCAUUGGUUCCUCUAUGAUGGGAUGAGUCGUUUCAUUGCUCAAACUAGAAAAAUUUCCCAAGUAUUGUUUAGUACAAGUAGAAAAAAGAAAAUAGAAAGAGGGAGUGCCAAGAGGAUUUAAAAUGCAUAUUCCGAAGAAGGGAGGCAAAGGCUUUUCCGUCUUUCUUUUGCUCCGAACUCCACAGUAUAAACUCUUGCUCCCAUGCAGAAGCAAUUUUGUUGUUAAGAUGAACCUUAACACCCAAGUCCAUGGAGUUUGUUUAGAAUAUCCUUUCCUCUGAAGAUAUCUGAUGGUAUCUUAUCCUAAAAUAAGAUAAGAGGUAAGAACCACGAAAGACUGUAUAUGAAUCGCCCUUUUCAGUUUCAAUGCACGUAAUCGACCCACACAGAAAGAAAGAAAGAAAGAAAGAGUGCAGCUCCCCGGCCCGAUUAAUGUAGAGCAAGGAAUUGAACAAACAUCAUCAAUUUAAAUGGAAUUGCUAAUGAUCACAAAGCUCUUCUUGAACAUAUUGCUACUAUCUUUUUUGUGCAUUUCUUUCCUCUUAACUGAUAGAAAGACAUAAGAUGGUAUGAGUAUUAGUCACCAUAUAAAGAUUUUGUAAUUUAGCCUUGAACAUACGUGCAACACACGCGCCCAAAACUAGUUAUCAUAAAUGUAUGGCAAGAAAAUACUUAUGAGCAUUCUAACUAGCAUGCUAUCAUAUUGCUUAGGAUUUAAUUUAGAAUUAUAAGUUAGAGACAUAUAAAUAGUAUAAUAAUAAAAACCUGAAAUGUAUUGACUAUGCCUAGUAAAGUAUCAUAACAAUACCUAAAGCAAGUAAUGUAUACAAUAAUUAAAUUGCAGAUCACUAACUUAUGAAAAUCCUUUUAGAGAAGUUAUAAACAUAUAAAUGUAUACCUGACUCAGAAAUAAAAGUUAUUAACUUUUAGGGAAAACGACAAUCCCAAAUUAAGUAGGUCUCAAUUGGUUAGAGACUCGUGUUGAUAACGUGUUGUGAAAUGAGAGAAAAAAACAAUAAUACUAAGCAAGAAAGGAAGACAAAUGGUAAUGGAAAGUAUAGAGUAGAGAGUCUUACAUAUUCUCUUCAAGUGUGUCUUUCACAAGGGUGAAGAAUACCCUUUUAUAGGAUGUAAAAUCCAUCAGUUUACAAUCUUUAACCACAUGUGUUAGUACAUCUUUAAGAGAUACAUCAAAUAGGUACAUUACGUUAGAUAUAGCUUAAAAGAAACACUCACACAAUUUAAUGGAUUUGUAACAAGUAUUAAAUAAAUUAUAGUUUAACAUAAUUUAAUUUUUAAAAAAAAUACAAUCUUUAAAUAUUUGACCUUAAUUAAAUUUAUUAUUUUAUAUUUCGUACAUCGAAAUAUAUUUUGAUAAUUAUUGUAACUCCUAGACUAUGACCGAAAUUCCAGAGACAUACCUUAACUAAACUAAGGUCCUAUUACCCCUCGAACUCAUUUUUUAAAAAUAAUUUUAUACAUAUUUUGGAUUACGUGGCACACUCUGUGACUCCACAUUAAUGAGAGUAUCAUUUUGAAUUCAAAUGCAUAUGCGGAACUCAAAUGCAAGUGAUCAUAUUCUUAGUAGCAGUCGAGAUUAGGAGAAUUUUUGCCUGAGAUAGAAGCUUGAUGUUACUACGGGUCAGUGGUAUCAGCUAGAUAGUUAUAUUUUUGCGGUGAGUUUCUGCCUUGAGUCAUUUAUUUGGUUCCUUUGUUUUUUUAAAACCCUAAACACAAUAUUAUUGGGGAAAAAAUUGAACGCUGUUUUCUCUUUAAAAAAAAAUUAAAACCCUAACCACAAUAUUGCAAACAAUUUAGUUAGGGGCACAAUUUUAUUAGAAUUCUUUUGGCCUCAAACCUCUUUCCAAUCAUCAAGAUGAGUUGAGAUUAGUUGUUUAUACUCUCUGUACUUUAAUUUGUUUAUCUGGUUUUGACCUGAUAGGAAGUUUAAGCAUUUGAGUUUUACAAGUUCAAUAUAAAUUAUUCGACUGAUAAAUAGACAUCAGACACAACUUGAAUCUAUCAUUCAACUGGACGAUAUGUUAGGGAUUAAUUCAAGGCAAAAUCUGUAGUUACCGAGUUUGAAAAUAUUUUUGUACAGAUUCAUGAUGGUGUUUUAUCAAAAGAUGUAGAAACAUAAGUAAACCAUGGACCAAAGUUUGUUUUGUUAACCGGCAAUUGUAGCUUCAACAAUUGAUUCUCCAGUUAAAGUCCUGCAUGACAAUAUAGAUUAUAUAAAUGAACAUCAACAUGUCGAAGUUAAUGAUGAAAUAAGCAAGGAAGAUUCGAUCAAAAUUAGCACAAUCUCAAUCAUGCUUUGAACGUGGCAGAUUUAUCUCCAGAUGUUCAGUCAAAAGGGAAGAAAAACAGGGCUAAUGCUGAAACGAGUAAGACCACAAGAACUAUCUAGAUCCAUUUAUAAAUGUUUCAUUCCUAGAUCCAUUAUAAAUGGAUCAAUAGUAUAGAUCAAUAGUAUGUUUUGGUGCCGAAAAAAGUAUCAAUUCCUCAACAAAUAAUAUUUGAAAUAUUCUCAUGGCUUCCUAUCGAAGCCAUCAAAUCGUUAAUACACAUUUUCAGAUUCUGUAAUUCUCUUAUAUCUGAGUCAGAUUUUGUGGAUAUUCAUUGUUGUCUUUGUAUGACCCCUUCAUGGUGGAACAAAUUUCUUUCUCCAUUUAAGGAAAGCUUUUUAAGCCACUGAGCAAACGGAGCAUGGAAAUAUCUCUACCUCCCUUUUUCAAACGGAGAGAUUUGAUGGACUCUAUAGGUGUUCAAAUUCUUUUUUGGAUUUCGUUAAUGGUUUAUUUUGCAUUUGGAAACCAUCAUUUAUGCGAGGUGCUGCAAUUUUCAAUCCUAUAGAAGAGAAGUAAGAUUUCUUCCAGAUCCAAAUAAAGGUAUUCUUGGCAUAAGUAUUCAUUAGGUUUUGAGCCAGAAGAGAAGAAAUAUAAAGUGUUUUUGUUAGCAACACAAUAAGGGUACACAAAACAAUGGGUUUUAACUUUAAGCAUAGAUAAAUCGUGGAGAGAGACUGAAAGCAUUACUCCUUCUACUCCGUGUUGGGUUCGAAAGAGAUUAGGACGUCAUGCAGAAGCUUACAAUUGCAAAUCAUAUGAUUAACAAAUCAGACAACAAAUAAAAGUAUACUUAAAGACAUAAUAUUAUUAUAUGAUAUGACCAAUUGUCCUACCUAUUUAAAAACUAAUUAAAAGAAUAAAACUGUAGAGAGAAAAUCUCCCAUUAGCAAAAGUCUCUAAACGACUACAUUGUGGAUUCUAUUGUGUUAUGCUAUGAGAAUAGAAGUUUCAAUUUAUUGAUCUCCAAACUUUUCCUUUAAGGAAAGAAUAAACCAAAUAUGGAAGAAAAUUAUAUUUUCAUUUCAGAAAAAGUUCAAGCAUUUAUGAUAAUACUUUGACUUUUCUUUAAAAAAAAAAAACUUCAAAUAAGGAAAGAAAAUUAGGGCGAAACCCUAACAAAUCUCCCCUUUUGACUGAAUUUUCUUGACAAAACUUGAUCCAGCUUCUUAAGAUGCAUGAUAAUCUUCGUUCUUCACAUAGUCUUCAUCACUGCUGUUUGUCAUGGUUAAGAAUAAAGUUUAAAAUAUAUGGGUUAGAAAGGAUUUAAAAAUAUUUUAUUUUUAUUUUCAAAGAUGCAGCAGCAAGAAUGUUGAAAAUAUGGUUUAAAUCUCUUCUCCACAUGUAACUGGACAAAAAUCUUCAUUAUUGUCAAAUUUAUUGCAAAUUGAUUUGAAACUGCGUUGAACCUGUCUUCAACCUCGUUCCAUUGGAUCAUUAAACCAUGUGCUCUGAUACCACUUGUUGGGUUAAAAAAUGAUUAGGGCGUCAUGCGGAAGCUUACAAUUGCAAAUCAUACGAUUAACAAAUCAGACAACAUAUAAAAGUAUACUUAAAAGACAUAAUAUUAUUAUAUGAUAUGACCAAUUGACCUACAUAUUUAAAAAAUAAUUAAAAUCAUAAAACUAUAGAGAGAACAUCUCCCUAUAAGCAAAAGUCUCUAAACGACUACAUUUUGCUCAUGGCACUCUGGCUAAAGGGAAGAUGCUGCCAUAUUGAUCAGGGCUAUUUUAUGGCAAGGGAGCAGGUCCUCUCGCAAGGUUAGUAUCACCUUACUAUGUGAGUUAUUGCCUAGUGGUCACUUGCCAUGUGUCAUCUCCUUGUCUUUCGUGUCAGUAACAAAUGUCUUUUCAUUUUCAAAAUCCAAGGGUAGCUCUUGUUCGUGGACCGAUUCAAAUGAUAAAAAAACCUGUGAUCUAUACUUUUCCUAUUCAACUCUUCAGCGUGUUCUCUCCAAAAACAAAAAAAAAAAUUCUCUUUUUUCUUUUUGUCUUCUUCUCACUCUCAAUAUGUCAAAUCCUUCAUCCCAUUCAAAGGAUCUUCCUUCAUAAGACGUUGAAAACCCUAGUUCUUUCUAGUUUUCAACUCUUCCUGAGGAACCUUCUCUUUCCACUCCACUGUGUGGUAUAUGUGAGUUUAAAACACCUCACACUAAGAUACUGGCUUCACCCGUCACUAUUGAAACCCUUCCGUGUUCACCCCUUCUAGUCCUAUCCUUUCCAAAGGCCUCAAAUCACUCUAAGGCUUAUUUUGUAGUCAAACCUAUUGAUGGUCGCCUACUGAAGAACUAGAUGUCACAUCUCAAUCUGGCCCUGUCUCUUUAAUGAUGUCUGAAAGAAUGUUUGGUGGUGAUUUGCCUGAAGAAAAGGGGUUGAAUCUAACAUUCUCGCAGCAGGAGAGGAAUGGGUGGUUCAAAUCCUAACUACUUUGAAGGAAGAUAUUCAUCCUUCUAUCUAUGAGGUUGUGUAAAAGUCACCAGAUCCAGUACCCAGUAGGUCCGAACCCGUGUUUGAUAAAACUCCUGAGGUUGUGACACAAGUUAAUUUUGCUCAGGAGGAUAUGAAGGAUGGUGAAGAAACCCAUCUUUCUUGGAAGAGGAUAGGGAUAAGGGGAAUAUGCGGUUGAAUAUGUCACUGGUGUUAAAAAAAAUCAGGUGCCAACAAGGAAUCAAUUUCUGAGGUACCUAGUGAAUCUGCACAAAAAGGGAAAAGUAAGGGAAAAAAGAAAUUGGUGGAAUCCUCAACCAUUAAAGUCUCUCUAAAGUAUGUCACAAGAGGAUCACAUCAAAAAUUGAUGGGAUGUGAUGGUGGCAAACAAGGCUCAAACUACUCGAAAUAGAAGAAAGAGGAAAUCUAGUGUAGCUGAGGAAGUUCUGCAUGUGGACCCUAUAGUUCUUUCCAAAGAGGGUGGGUCAAGCGACAUGGAAUCUGAUGAUAUUGUGAAUGUUGUUGCGAAAAGAUGAAGGGAAGUAGAAGAGCAACGAGUUAAAGCCCUAAUAACCAAGAAAACUAAAAGGAAAUCACAAGCAAAGGAUGUUCCUGCAAAAUCAAAGGUUGUUCCUAUGUCUAAACCAAUGGAGGGACCAAGUCCAUAGGUGAAAAGAGGGGGAGAGGAUAAAGUCCUAACCAGGGAAGAAAGGAUUGAAGUUCUAAGAAAAAGGUGCUAAAUGGGAGGGUGUUUGACCCUGAAAUUCUUACCGGACUAGGAAUGUGCUACUUGGUAGAUUAUGUGGCACUGCAAGAUUGGGAGCAUUUGUUCGAGUGUCCUGUGCCGUGAUUGCACGAAUCAAAGGUGCACGAAUUCUACUAUCAGUUGGUCCUAUUGUAAGAUGGAGGAAUAAGCAUGAGUGUUCAUGGAGUGGAAAUCACCCUAAGUGAGGAGGUCUUGGGAAUCAUCUUGGACAUACCCUGCAAAGUGAUUAGGUCUGUCAAAGGCUGCAAAACAUCAAUAGAUUAUGUCCAAAGGGCUACAAAAUUUGGAGACCUGAAGUGCACUUGGGUUCCUAAGAGGUUUAUUAAGGGAGAACAUCAACUGUAUUUUGAAUUCGUCAACAUGGUGCUGCUGCCUCGCACAGAAAAGCGAAUAGUUGCAUCAUCAACAAACCUCUUUGUCAUGGAGCAGGAUACUUAUGAAGCGAUCAAUCUUCCAAGGAUCAUGCUGGAGCAUAUGCACAUGAUUAUGACAGUGAAGAAUGGAAAGCAUGGGAUAAACUAUAAAUAUCUCUAAACUCAGUUUUUGAUUACUUCGAUGUGCCUCUUGGCAGGGGAGUGGCAGGUACCAUCAAGCAAACCUUUUCAAUGUCCACCCUUAUUGAAUGUGAAUGUGUGGAGGGUAAGGUGAAGGCCAAGUCUCAAGUCUCAAAACUCCUGGACAAAAUAGAAGUGCUUAAAAGAGAAAUGGAGGACUUUACUACCCUUGUAGCUGAAAAGGAGUUAGAGAUUACUCCACUUAAGGCCUUGCUUCAACAGGCAAAGUCCCAGGGACCAGGUAACAGUGCAGAUGCACAGGGGAAACUCGACAAGUUGAGAGUCGAAAAUACAAAAAUGACAGAUUCAAAUUCCUUUCUAAGCGAGGAAGUUAAGUCUCUCACUAAGCAGCUGAUUCAGGCUCAUACUAAUGCCAUCAUCGAAUGAACAUUCUGCUUUAGUCCUUUUAUCCUUGACCUCCCCCGUCCUAGAGUGUCUCUCUAUUCUUCCUGUCAUAUUAUCAUUGGAAGUGUUGUCCUAGUUGUGUGAUGCUUAACAACUAGUUUUGUGGUACAUGAUCUACAUCAAUAAAUUGCCCUAUUUAUGAUUCGUCUUUUUCUUCUCUAUUUUGCCUGUUUGCUCAUGUACUGUGUGUCUGUGGCUCUGAAUUCCUUACUGUUUGCCUAGCACUUGCGUAUGUUUACUGCUCUAACUUUUCAAUGAUAUGCCAAAAGGGGGAAUAUUGUACAUGUUGCUGACGGUAUUAAUGAUAGGGGGAAUGGUGACGGGGGGAAUGGUGACGAGGGGAAUGAUAAAAUGAAUGAAUAAACUCAAUGAGACUGUUUGUUUGUCAUCAUCAAAAAUGCGGAAAAUGUAGUAUUUCAGGUGUUUUGAUGAUCCUCACAAAUGACGGGACCCCUUCUGUGGCAGCGUAGCUCUCGUCCAAGGUCAAUAUGGUGAACAACUAUAAAUCUAUCUUGUCAACCGAUUGGUGAGAAGGACAGUGUACUUCUCCAAUUGGAACAUACUAGGUUGUUUGUUCAGUGGAUAAUAAUUUUUGUUGUGAUUGAUAUAUUCAAGUGAACAAACAACAAAAAUAUUAAUUCAUCAAAUAGGGCGAUUUUUAUCUUUCAAAAAAACAAGCUUUAAGAACACACAUGACAAGGACCUGAUAGAGUGAAGAAAAAUAAUCUUGAAGUUCUGAUGUUUUAAAUGCUUGUAUUGUGCUGAAAUUGUAGGAUUCGUUUCUCAUCUAUAAAGAAACGUAUCAAAGUUCUUUCUUGGGUACUGAUUGUAAAAACACAAUUAGAGUUAAUUGUGUGUCGUAAAGUUGAAGUUUAUAUUAAUUAGUGGUAGUUAAUAUAGUGGGUAAUGGAUGCAUUGCUUUGGCUCAAUUAAAUAAUAGUGUUAUUACUUAGUGUGAGAUUAAGAAUUUAAUCUCAUUUGUUGUAUUUGAAGUUUGUAUUCACUUUUGCUUGUAAUUAGUGAAAACCGUUGAAAAUCCUGUGUGACAGGUUGUGGUUUUACUCCCUUGAGCAAGGAGGUUUCCACGUAAAACUCUUUGUCUUCACUGUUGAUUAAAUAAGUUCUUUACUGCAUUUCUUCUGUACUUUCAACCGGGUACUAUAGCACGUUGUGAAGCUUGCACAUCUCAAUAUAUAUAUAUAUAUAUAUAUAUAUAUAUAUAUAUUACAUGACUUGAUAUACACAUUAUUCUCAUUCUUUUAACAGUCUCCACGAAUGUGUGACAUGAAAAGUGUUGAAGAUAAGAGAAGCUAAAGAUAUGGAACAGGCUGAACAAUGUGGCACAAUGAAUGUUAUACACGUCCUAGUAUGACUCUAACUACAUGUUGAUUGUACCACGUUGUUCAACAUGUUCCAUAUCUUCAGGUUCCCUUAUCUUCAACAAAAAGUUAUACAAGUAUUUAAUGUGACUUACUUGUGACAAGUAGCAUUAAAAGGUUUCUUGGUUCUUUCAUAUCUGGGUGCAAUAUAAUAUUUUCUGUAAGUACUAACACUUAAAUAAUGAGCAGCUAAACUUCCAAUUUUCGUAAUUAGUGGAGAUUCAGAUGCAGUUAUGAACGAUAAAUAAGGAGAACAUGCAGAUCUCACACAAAAAUAGAACUAGCACAUGAAACACAUAAAUUUCUUGAUGUUAAGUUGAAAUUAAGGAAUUUUAUCGCAGAGACAUGUCAAUAGAGGCUUUUUAGGAAACCUUUUUUCAUGAAAAUAUGGAACUUAAUUAGAUAAUUAUUUUUGUCCUUUCAUAAAAUAUAUUCACCUUUGUCCAAUCUUCCCUUCUUUGUUGAUCUGUUGCUCUUUGUUAGAUAAAUUCUCAUAGUUUCAAUGAUCUUUUAAGAUAUUAACACCCACGGGUGCCCAUGAUCAGCUAGUUUGCUCAAACGCCGAAUUCUCCGACAGGGUGCUCGAGAUUCGUUCUGAACCCUAUGCAUGCAAAGGACAUAUGUAACCCUACCAAAUUUGAUAUUUAGGACUCAAUGGAUAAGUCCAAAUUCCCAUACGAGAUCAUCUCAGCAUAAAAGUUGGUCCCACCCAAACUCUAUUUUAAGCUAAAAUCCACAACGAAGCUUGGAAUUAGCUCGGAAGCCUCGAGAUCCAAAUUAACAGUUGUUCUAUCCCAAACUCAGCAUUCCAGAGCUAACCGAAUGAAAGAAUUCUCAUCCAAGCUCGUAAAUCAGAAUUUUGACUAAAGUCAAACUUAGACCUUAACUUGAAAGUUAAAACGCCUAAUCAUACUCGCACUCGUAAAAUGAUCCUUACGGAGCUGAUGGAAUAGUUAGAAGGCAAAAGUACUCAUUACCCCCCUGAACUUGAAGCUUUUUAUACGGUGUACACCUAAACUAAAUUCCGUUUUAAUUACCCCCCCGAACUUGUUUAUUCCUCCGUCGCAUACACCUUUUUCGUCCACCUGGCGUAGAAAUUGACAACAAUCUCUACUAGGCGCGUGAGGAAGUGAUUUUUUGCCACAUCAUAACGCUACAUUGAUAAAAAAACGUAAAAUCUUCAUUUUUCUUUAAUAUUUGGCAUAUUUUAAACGAAAAAUAGGGUAAAAUGUAAAUGAAAAGUAAAGGAAACAAAGAUUAACACUUACUUGGUAAGAAUUUCAGACAAAUUUGAAAUUUAAUCGACCAACUUCACGUCUAGAAAAACCCAAAUCCAAAAGGAGUUCCGCGAAAUCAACCCUUAUUCAAAAAUAACUUUUAAACAAUGAAUUUUAAAUUUAGGAAAUUUAUUUUUUGCAAUAUUAAUUUAUCCAGGUGGCUAUUAUUUAUCCAGGUGGAAAUCCACAUCACCAAUUUAGACAGCUGUCGCGCGCGUGUAGUCCCAACAGGAGUAGGUGGACGAAAAAGGUGUACGCGACGGAGGAAUAAACAAGUUCGGGGGGGUAAUUAAAACAAAAUUUAGUUUAGGUGUACACUGUAUAAAAAGCUUCAAGUUCAGGAGGGUAAUGAGUACUUCUGCCUAGUUAGAAUUGAAUUUUGGGGUCAUCUUCUUAAUCUUUUGAUCAGAAUUGACCGUUCAAAGUUCAAAAACUCCAAAAUACUAAAACUCACGUAAGAACCAAAAGAACAUCCAGGUGGCAAACCUGUCAGUCACAUGAAGUGAUAAAUGACUUGGGGUCGCUAGAGGAACGCUCUAAAUGACAACAUGAGGCAUAAUAUAGAAAUGACCCGGAGGACAUUACAACUAAUCUAUUCUUCUAGAGCUAAAAAUCAUAGACGACAAAUUUUUUAUUGUUAAAUACACCUUUGUUUCGGUUAGUUUCACUAUUGCUACACAAUCUUUAAGAAAAGAAACUUUAUUGCUUUCCUAGAAAUAGAAAUAAAUACAAAAGAACGUAAGAAAUUUCUAACAAUAGCCUAAGACAUGAUGAUAUUGUAUAUAAAAUAUAAUCUGAUUUUUAUUUUAUCAAUUUCUAUUUUCUUUAAAUUACAUGACUGGGAUCUUUGUCUACAAAGGAUGUUAAUCGUUUACCUUUUAUGUUAAGUUGAAUAGUUUUUAGGAGUUUAAUUGAUGAUCUCAUUUUUAUUUUUAAUGGAUGACAAUGGUCAUCUAAAUACAAAAUCAUUAAAGAAAGGUACUCUAAGCUUGUAAGAUUAGUAAUUUAUGACAAGGAGUCUACAUUGAAAGGCAUGUGAAUAGAUAGAGAACAUUUUCUUCGUACAAAAUUGAAUGUUUUGUAAACCAACAUGUGGCAUUUGAAAUUUUUGUAGUGAUAUUCUUGGAAACAGGUAGUUGAAGAGUAUAUAGUUGUAACUUUUAAGUCUUUGUCAUCCCUCUCUUCAUGUUUAUUUUCAAUCUUCAUGUGGAAACUUUCAGCAUUCAUUUAAUUAUAGCAUAAAAGAUCAAUUAAUAUUGAGAAGAUAACUAUAUCAAUGUAUAAAAAUUGUAUAGUAGAUAAUAUAUACAAGAUAAAAGAAAGUGAUCAAAUAGUAAUUCAUUCACAUUCAUUUAUUAAAGGUUCUUGUUUUGGAUAACAGGACUUAAACGGUUACAUUGUUUUCCAUACUAGCUAUUACAUAUAGGUUUCCAAAACAGGCUAACUGUCACGACCCGAGAGCACCCCCAAGUCGUAACAAGGCGUACUCGACCCCGAAGGGGUCUUAUACAAACCACAUAGUCAUUCAUUGCAUUCAAUAAUGAUAAUAGUGAGGAAUUAAAAACUUAUUUACAUCCAAACAUUCAAGCUUCAUUAAAACAACUUCAAAAACACACAGCGGAAGUCUAAGUCUCACAUGGCCAUCUUAGACACAAUCACAAAACACAAGUAGGGACACGGCCCUUUACAAUCAAAAAAAGUCUAUUAAGUCUAUUACAAGAACCUUAUCAUAAAAUUAGAAUAGAAAAGUCUUGUCCUCGACAUAUGAGGACAUACCACAAGAUCUUGGAAGAACUUCAAGUUCCAAGCUUACUAUAGAACCCGCUCACUUUCCGGAACCUACACUAGUAGAAAAUAGAGAAAUAUGGAAUUAGCACAAUUAAGUACUAAGUAUGAUGACCAUGCAAAACAUGCUUUAAAAGGGACAUUUUGGCUAGAAACCAUGCAUUAUGCCACUUUUUGAAGUAUCAUGAACAGUUGCAUAAAAGACAUACAAGACAAGCAUAAACAUCAAGUAAGUCAUAAUAUCACCUUUAAACAAUAUCAACAUNNNNNNNNNNNNNNNNNNNNNNNNNNNNNNNNNNNNNNNNNNNNNNNNNNNNNNNNNNNNNNNNNNNNNNNNNNNNNNNNNNNNNNNNNNNNNNNNNNNNNNNNNNNNNNNNNNNNNNNNNNNNNNNNNNNNNNNNNNNNNNNNNNNNNNNNNNNNNNNNNNNNNNNNNNNNNNNNNNNNNNNNNNNNNNNNNNNNNNNNNNNNNNNNNNNNNNNNNNNNNNNNNNNNNNNNNNNNNNNNNNNNNNNNNNNNNNNNNNNNNNNNNNNNNNNNNNNNNNNNNNNNNNNNNNNNNNNNNNNNNNNNNNNNNNNNNNNNNNNNNNNNNNNNNNNNNNNNNNNNNNNNNNNNNNNNNNNNNNNNNNNNNNNNNNNNNNNNNNNNNNNNNNNNNNNNNNNNNNNNNNNNNNNNNNNNNNNNNNNNNNNNNNNNNNNNNNNNNNNNNNNNNNNNNNNNNNNNNNNNNNNNNNNNNNNNNNNNNNNNNNNNNNNNNNNNNNNNNNNNNNNNNNNNNNNNNNNNNNNNNNNNNNNNNNNNNNNNNNNNNNNNNNNNNNNNNNNNNNNNNNNNNNNNNNNNNNNNNNNNNNNNNNNNNNNNNNNNNNNNNNNNNNNNNNNNNNNNNNNNNNNNNNNNNNNNNNNNNNNNNNNNNNNNNNNNNNNNNNNNNNNNNNNNNNNNNNNNNNNNNNNNNNNNNNNNNNNNNNNNNNNNNNNNNNNNNNNNNNNNNNNNNNNNNNNNNNNNNNNNNNNNNNNNNNNNNNNNNNNNNNNNNNNNNNNNNNNNNNNNNNNNNNNNNNNNNNNNNNNNNNNNNNNNNNNNNNNNNNNNNNNNNNNNNNNNNNNNNNNNNNNNNNNNNNNNNNNNNNNNNNNNNNNNNNNNNNNNNNNNNNNNNNNNNNNNNNNNNNNNNNNNNNNNNNNNNNNNNNNNNNNNNNNNNNNNNNNNNNNNNNNNNNNNNNNNNNNNNNNNNNNNNNNNNNNNNNNNNNNNNNNNNNNNNNNNNNNNNNNNNNNNNNNNNNNNNNNNNNNNNNNNNNNNNNNNNNNNNNNNNNNNNNNNNNNNNNNNNNNNNNNNNNNNNNNNNNNNNNNNNNNNNNNNNNNNNNNNNNNNNNNNNNNNNNNNNNNNNNNNNNNNNNNNNNNNNNNNNNNNNNNNNNNNNNNNNNNNNNNNNNNNNNNNNNNNNNNNNNNNNNNNNNNNNNNNNNNNNNNNNNNNNNNNNNNNNNNNNNNNNNNNNNNNNNNNNNNNNNNNNNNNNNNNNNNNNNNNNNNNNNNNNNNNNNNNNNNNNNNNNNNNNNNNNNNNNNNNNNNNNNNNNNNNNNNNNNNNNNNNNNNNNNNNNNNNNNNNNNNNNNNNNNNNNNNNNNNNNNNNNNNNNNNNNNNNNNNNNNNNNNNNNNNNNNNNNNNNNNNNNNNNNNNNNNNNNNNNNNNNNNNNNNNNNNNNNNNNNNNNNNNNNNNNNNNNNNNNNNNNNNNNNNNNNNNNNNNNNNNNNNNNNNNNNNNNNNNNNNNNNNNNNNNNNNNNNNNNNNNNNNNNNNNNNNNNNNNNNNNNNNNNNNNNNNNNNNNNNNNNNNNNNNNNNNNNNNNNNNNNNNNNNNNNNNNNNNNNNNNNNNNNNNNNNNNNNNNNNNNNNNNNNNNNNNNNNNNNNNNNNNNNNNNNNNNNNNNNNNNNNNNNNNNNNNNNNNNNNNNNNNNNNNNNNNNNNNNNNNNNNNNNNNNNNNNNNNNNNNNNNNNNNNNNNNNNNNNNNNNNNNNNNNNNNNNNNNNNNNUGGACUCCUUGAAGGAAAUAUAAUCAAGGAUCAAGGGUCACCAUACCUUUGUUAAGAUUCCCCAAGAAAAUUGAUGAAGAAACCACCUUCAAUCCAAGCCCUAGCUCCAAGUUCUUGACCUUCUUAAAAUGGAGGAUUGUAGAGAGAAAAGUAUUUGAGAGGAGGUGAGUUCUUUUUAAUUCUAAUUAGAGUGACUUAAAAUGGAAGAAUUUGGUCUAGAAGGGUUUUAUAAUUGCUAGGAAAGGCAUAUAAUAAAAGGGGCUCAACUUAGGAAAAGAAAUAAGGACCCAUUUAAAAGUUUCCACUAAACCCGUCUAAGCUCGUCCUUGCUGACAGUGCUUCACUAUUUUGGGCAUAACUUUUUACUCCGAGAUCGGAAAAGGGCAAACUCGGUGGCGUUGGAAAGAGGACUCAGAUACCUUUAAUUGGAUAGGUAAUGGUCGACCUAAUUCAUUUUGAGCUAAAAGAUAUGACCAUUUAAAGUUGACCCUCACUCCUAACUUAAAACUAAAAACUGUUUUUAGGGGACUGUUUUGAGGGUCUCGGUUCUAAAUGAUUUCAUGACCUAGCUUAAGGUCUUGCUAGCUUAUAAAGGUGAUUAAUCAACUAGCUAAUCAACCCCUUAAGUCCUUAAACAACACUCCAAACUUCAACGACAAGACCCUUACAACUCACUAGUUCGAACGACUAGUUUCCGGACGUCACUGUCAUUUCUCAACAUUUCAUCAAGUUCUCAACUCCAAACUCACAUGUGAGGCUCUAGUUUCACUAGUUCGUUUUUAGGGUCGUUACACUAACGUAUUACAAGUAGUCCGUGGAACUACUUUAGUCAGAGGAACUCCUUCAUGAUAUGCCUUAAUUAACGGGAUUACAGGGUCACAAGGAAUUAGCAUGAUAGUAGCUUUAGAGGAUGAUCUUAGCUUGGCACCUAUCUUUGACAAAAAGUCUACUACUUGAUUUGCCUGGCGGAAGCUAUGGCGGAGAACUGGGCUCCCCAACUUCUUCAUAAGCAACCUGCAUGAAUCAAUUAAAUCAACAUAAAUGGGUUCAAAGAAUUUUAGUGGAGUCAGUUUCAAUUUCAAGGGACUGUAAAUCAUAUGUAAUAGCUAUUUGGAGUCCUGGAUGAAGGGCUUCUAAUCUAGCCAUUACAUGAUUUUGCACCUUGACAUAUUAAUAAAAUCCUGUUAACCAAACUCCCUCGUGAUUAAUCUAAUGAUACCCUCAAUGCCUCCUGAGUUGCUAAUAUUUGAGUAGAAGCCAUAGGUGUUGUAACAUCCCAUAUGCUAGAAAACCAAAAUUGCAGAAUUUCAGAAGUUACAGGUGCCAUCAACGGUGCUACCUAUGGACCGUAGGGUGACCCACGGACCAUAGGUGGGGUCCGUGGUUAGCCACUUGCAGCCCUCCCCAGAAACUCAGAAAAAAAUCGUCUAAGGGUCGAUCCACAGCUGGACCUACGGACCGUAGGUCAGACCACGGGUCGUGGUCCAUGGAUCAAGACCCACAGAACCCCUACUCUGAAGCUAGUCGACAAUUGACAGGAUGAACCGUAGGUCAGUCAAUGGUCCGUCAGUUGGCCCCGAUAACUUUUAAGUCAGUGUCAUUUUGGUCUUUUCCCUAUGUGUUGGACACCUAAACUACGUUGUUUUGGUCAGCUUUGUCCUAGUAAGUAAAUUAGAACUUACCUUAGUCGAGUCAUUCUCCAAAAUUCAUCCAAUUUGAAUGAAAAAGAGAAGAAAGAGUCGACCAACCCUCUCCAAGAACGCAACAAGGUUUCCUCCAGUUCCAGCUCCGAAAUUGAAAGAUUUCUCCAUGAAACUCGUCACCAGUUAUGUGGGAUUUCACUAGUGGGUUCCUUUCACCCAUUAGGUCCCUAGAAUUCAGUCAAAUUCUUGAUUCUCUAUAUCAUGUUUAGACCUAGGGUUUCUUGAACUAAAAUAAAAGAGUUGUGAUUCAACUGUUAGACUAAUCCUAAUCAGAUUAUCAUGUUUUUGAUGAAUUUUUGCUUAGCUUCUUGCAUGAAACUCAAAACCCUAGUUGUGUAGAUUCGUUUAGUUCAUGAAUUACACUUGCUAGGUCAGUCUUAUUCAGAUAUACAUGCUCCCGUUAAGAAUGUUUCAUUAUCAGUACAUUAAUGUUGCAUUUUCAGUUAGCAUGUCAGUAUUUGAGCUAUCCAGUUUAUAUUCAGUAAUGUUGUAUUGUAUACAUUCUAGUUGGGAGUAGGCCUAAUAUCGAGUGGACUAGGGUCAGUCACCUCAUAGUCCCAGAACUACGUGCCUCCGUAGGUUUAGUCCCCUUUGUGGGCAUCAUAUUUAGUAAUCACACCAGUCAUGCUUUUAUACCCCUAACAAGGUAUAGUGGGUCCUAUCGAUGGGGCGUAUACAUUGGACUCCACAUUUAGCUCACGUGGUUUUAUGUUGGUUAUUAGUAGCUCCCAUAGUCAGAUUCUAGUACAUUGACGAGGUUACAAAUUAUAUUUCAGUAUUCAGUUUCAACAUGUUAUGUACUUGGUCAUUGCAUUCAGUUUAGUUCAUGUUUAGUAUGUUCAGUAUAUUCACCAUGUUCAUCUUAUAUCAUUGCUCAACAUGCAUAUUUCAGUUAUAUAUAUGUUGUUCAGCUUUAUCCUAUCCUGCAUGCUUAGUACCUUUCAAGUACUGAAGCUUACUCUGCGCUACAUCUUCUCGUGAUGUAGGUUCAGGUCCUCAGCAUUCAGAUCACGCAUAGAUCGAUUCUCGAUCUCCAGUUCAGUAGUAUCAGUGGUGAGUUAUCAUUCUUCGAGGAUGGUUGAUAUGUUUUCUAUUCAAUCUUUCUUUGUUUUAGUUUCAGUUUUGCUAGAGUUAGCUGGGGCAUGUCCCAACAUCUCUAGUCAGUUAGAGGAUUUUAUUCAAACAUAGUUAGAUUUAGUUUUAGAUUCGAGUUUCACCUUUCAGCUGUUAUUGAACUCUCGGUCUUUUAUAUAUUCAGACUUAGAAUGGGUAGUCCCCAUCAUUUCAUUUUAUAUUAUGUUUAAGCUUCCGCACGGUAUUUCUAUUUUUAGUAAUUUUUUAAGUAUGCUUAUGAUAUGCAGUUCAGGGUUAGCUUGGGGUCACUCGUGAUUCUAGGUCUCGUGUUACGUCAAGGGGUAGACUCGGGGCAUGACAAACUUGGUAUUAGAGCAUUAGGUUCAAGAGUCCUAGGAUGUUUGAAAAUCCACACUAAGUAGAGUCUGUUUCAUGAGUAUGCAGCGCGCCACACCCAUGAGGGGGAGGCUACGAAUGUCUUAGGAAGAAAUUCACUUUGUUGUUAUUCUUAUUGUGCGUGGGUAUGAUCUCCUUUCUAACUCGACGUUAUGCUUUUUCAGAUCAUGCCACCUCGUAGAGAUUACCCAAGGAAUGAUAAUGCCUGCAAAGCUAACGCAGUUCCUCCAGUCCCAAACCAUGAGGUUUCGAAUGCUGAGUUUUAGAAUGCCAUUCAACUUUUGGCCCAGAGUGUAGCCAACUAGAACAAUCAGCAGGUUCCAGUUCUUGCAAAUGCUAGUUGUGGAUUAGUUUCAGCUAGGGUCCAUGAUUUUUUCAGGAUGAAUCCACCUGAGUUUGUAGGGUCACAAGUUGGUGAGGAUCCCCAGAACUUUAUUGAUGAGGGUCAAGAAGAUCUUUGGAGUGAUGCAAGUAACUGUGAAUGAUAGGGUGGAGUUGGCGUCCUACCAGCUCAAGGAUGUAGCUCACAUUUGGUUCACUCAAUGGAAAGAAAACAGGGGUGAGAAUGCAACUCCUGUGACUUGGGUGUGUUUUACUGGAGCUUUUCUGAACAGGUUCUUUCCGAGAGAGUUGAGAGAGGCCAAAGCUCAGGAGUUCAUGAAUUUGAGGCAAGGCUCUAUGUCAGUCCAAGAGUACGGACUUAAGUUCACCCAGAUUUCCAAGUAUGCUCCACAUAUGGUUGCCGAUCCCAGGGCGCAAAUGAGUAAGUUCCUUUUUGGAGUAUCUGACUUGGUGAAGACAGAGUGCAGAAAUGCUAUGUUAUUAGAGGACAUGAAUAUCUCUAGGCUCAUGACUCAUGCUUAGCAGGUUAAAGGAGACAAGCUUAAAGAACUGGCUAAGAACAAUAAAAAAUCUAGGACAGGCAACUAUGAGUACUCUCAGCAGAAAUCGGGUGGUGGAAAUCGGUCACAGUUUUAGCAGAAAUCUUCUGCCCCAACACCUUCAUCAACUAGUGCUCCAUCCCCAAGGUUUCGACAGGAUCAGAAAGGUAGGGCAUCAGGCUCUAAGUCUCAGGGAAGUGCUUCAGGUACUAGAACCUACCCAACUUGUCCAAAGUGUGGUAAGAACCAUCUGGACGAGUGUCUUGCAGGCAAGGAAUGAUGUUUUGGGUGUGGUCAGUAUGGUUACAAGUUGAGGGAUUGCCCUUCUUCUAAACAGGAUCAAAAAGGUAAUACUAGUGGGGCUCAGUCUACAGCUUCAGCAGCACCAGCAGGUCGCCCGACUCAGCAGCGUACUACAUCUUGUACAGGUGGCGAUCAACCCAGAAUACGUUGUAUGCUCUCCAGGCUCGCCAAGAUCAGGAAGAUUCUCCUGAUGUGGUUACUUGUACAUUGCGAGUCUUUCAUUUAGAUGUUUAUGCUUUGUUAGAUCCAGGGGCUACUCUUUCCUUUGUAACUCUAUCUAUAGCAAUGAACUUUGGUGUCAGUCCAGAAACUUUCUCAGAACCCUUCUCAAUAUCUACUCCAGUUGGUGACCCAAUUAUAGCUAGAUGGGUAUACUACAUAAAUUGCCUAGUCACAGUCUCUCAGAAAGUCACCUCAGUGGAUCUUGUAAAGUUAAAAAUGGUAGACUUCAAUAUCAUUCUAGGCAUAGAUUGGUUACAAUAUUAUUAUGCCUCAGUUGAUUAUAGAACUAGGAUCGUGUGUUUUCAGUUUCCAGACGAGCCAAUCUUAGAAUGAAAGGGUAGUAGCUCAGUACCUAUGGGUCGAUUCAUUUCUUACCUUAAGGCCAGAAAGAUGAUCUAUAAUGGUUAUCUUUAUCAUCUAGUUCAGGUUAAGGAUUCAAGCUCCGAAACCCCAACUCUUGAGUCAAUUCCAGUAGUAAAUGAGUUCCCAUAAAUGUUUCCAGAAGAUCUUCCCAGAGUUCCUCCCGAAAGGGAACUCGACUUUGGAAUUUAUCAUCUUCCAGAUACCCAUCCUAUUUCUAUUCCUCCUUACAGAAAGGCUCUAGCUGAGCUUAAGGAAUUGAAAGAGCAGUUGAAAGAUCUUUUAGAUAAGGGCUUCAUCAGACCUAGUAUUUCCCCACGGGGUGCACCAGUGUUGUUCGUGAAAAAUAAAAAUGGUUAUCUCAGGAUGUGCAUUGACUAUCGGCAGUUGAACAAAGUCACAAUCAAGAAUAAGUACCCUAUCCCUAGGAUUGAUGACUUAUUCGACCAAUUUCAUGGUGCUAGUCAUUUCUCGAAGAUAGACCUCUGAUCCGGUUAUCAUCAGCUCAGAGUCAGAGAUAGUGACAUUCCAAAAACAGACUUCAAAACUCGAUAUGGUCAGUAUGAGUUAGUAGUUAUGUCAUUUGGACUAGCCAUGCUCCUGCAUCUUUCAUGGAUUUGAUGAACAAGGUGUUCAAGAAAUAUUUGGACUUGUUCGUUAUCAUCUUUAUUGAUGAUAGCCUCAUUUACUCUAGGAAUGAGGAGGAACAUGCGACUCAUUUGAGGGUUGUUCUGCAAACUCCCAAAGAUCGCCAGUUAUUCGCUAGUUUAGCAAAUGCGAGUUUUGGUUGCAAUCAGUUGCUUUCCUUGGGCAUAUAGUAUCUAGCGAAGGGAUCUGAGUUGAUUCUUAGAAAAUAGAGGUAGUGAAACAAUGGCCCAGACCUACCUCUCCUACAAAUAUCAAAGUUUUUUGGGUUUGGCUGGUUAGUAUAGAAGGUUCGUGGAAGGAUUUUCAUCCAUAGCUUCUCCACUGACUAAGUUGACUUAGAAGAAGGUUAAGUUUUAGUGGUCAGAUGAGUGUGAGAAGAGCUUCUAAGAACUGAAAACUAGGUUGACUACAUCUCUUGUUUUGACUCUACCAGAGGGUUCAGACGAUUAUCUGAUCUAUUGUGAUGCAUCCAGAGUCAGCCUAGGUUGUGUGUUGAUGCAGCGAGGUGAGGUUAUAGCUUAUGCCUCUAGAUAACUUAAGGUGCAUGAGAAGAACUAUUUGACUCAUAACCUUGAGCUUGCAGCCGUAGUAUUUACCCUAAAGAUCUGGAGACAUUACCUGUAUAGUGUUCACGUAGAUGUGUUCAUAGACCAUAAGAGCCUUCAGUAUGUGUUUACCCAGAAAUAGUUGAAUAUUUGCCAGAGGAGAUGGUUUGAGUUCCUCAAGGACUAUGACAUGAAUGUGAUUUACCAUCUUGGUAAGGCCAAUGUAGUAGCUGAUGCUCUUAGCAGACUAUCUAUGGGUAGUGUAGCGCAUAUUGAGGAAGAAAUGAAAGAAUUAGCAAAAGAUGUUCACCGGCUUCCUCUCUUAGGAGUUUGCCUUAUGAGCAUAUCAGAUGGUGGUGUAACAGUCUAGAAUAGGUCAGAAUCUUUAUUGGUGGCAGAGGUUAAGGAAAAACAAGGCAAUGAUCCUAUAUUGCUACAAUUGAAGGGUGCAGUUCAUCAGCAGAAAGUUGAGGUCUUCUCCCAAAGGGGAGAUGGUGUGCUUCGCUAUCCGGGUCGUUUAUGUGUUCCUAAGGUGGGUGAGUUGAGACAAAAGAUCCUUAUAGAAACCCAUAACUCCAGGUAUUCUAUUCAUCCAUGUGCCAGUAGGAUGUACCAUGAUCUGCAGGAAGUCUUUUGGUGGAAUGGUAUGAAAAGGGAUAUAGCAGACUUUGUGGCUAAGUGCCCUAAUUGUCAGCAAGUGAAGGUAGAACAUAAAAAACCAGGAGGUAUGACUCAAGAGAUUAAUAUCCAUACAUGGAAGUAGGAAGUGAUAAACAUGGACUUCAUUACAGGUUUACCUCGUACUCGCAGAUAGCAUGACUCCAUUUGGGUGAUAGUAGACAGAGUUACUAAGUCCGCUCACUUUUUGGCUGUCAAGACUACAGAUUCGGUGGAGGACUACGCCAAGAUUUAUAUUAAUGAUAUAGUCAGGUUGCAUGGGGUUCCUUUGUCUAUCAUCUCAGAUAGAGGUCCUCGGUUUACCUCUCAUUUCUGAAAGUCAUUUUAGAAAGGUCUUGGUGCUCAGGUUAAACUCAACACAUCAUUUCAUCCACAGACGAAUGGUCAGGUAGAGCGUACCAUUCAGACCUUAGAGGACAUGUUGAGAGCUUGCAUGAUCGACUUCAAGGGUAGUUCAGAUGAUCACCUUUCUCUUAUAGAGUUCGCCUACAAUAAUAGCUACCAUUCCAAUAUUCAGAUGGCCCCUUUUAAGGCAUUAUAUGGGCGUAGAUGUAGAUCUCCAGUUGUUUGGUUUUCAGUAGGUGAAGCAGCCUUGAUAGGGCCAGAUUCGGUUCAUGAUGCAAUGGAAAAAGUUCUACUCAUCUGAGAUAGAGUUAAGACAGCCUAGAGUCAUCAGAAGUCCUAUGCAGAUGUAAUGAGAAGGGACUUAGAGUUCAAAAUUGAUGAUUGGGUUUUCCUGAAAGAGACACCUAUGAAGGGGUGAUUAGGUUUGGCAAGAAAGGGAAGCUCAGUCCUAGAUAUGUAGGCCCUUAGAGGGUCUUGGAAAGAGUUGGUAAAAUGGCUUAUGAGUUAGAGUUGCCAGCAGAACUAGCAGCGGUGCAUCCGAUCUUCCACAUUUCGUUGUUAAAGAAAUGUGUGGGUGAUCCAACAUCCAUAGUACAAUUGGAAAGUGUGGCUGUGAAAGAUAGUAUCAGGUUUAAAGGUUGACAAACAAAGAAGUCGCUUCAGUGAAGGUUUUGUAGAGGAGCUCGUCUGUACAUGGAGCUACUUGGGAAGCAGAAGCAACCAUGAAGGUCAAGUAUCCUCAUCUCUUUCCUUCUGAUUCCAUUCUAGCUUGAGGUAAUAGUUCUUCUCGAGUCUUUCAUUUACUCAUGAGUAGAUUCAGUCUUAGUAUCAUGUUCCUUCAGUCAUACUUGCAUUUUCAGCGUAUUUGCAUUUUCUAGGAACUUAGUUCAGUCAGAUUUCAGUACUUAGUGGUAGGGUUUGCAGCUCUUUCUCUCCAUAUUCAGCUAGUUUAGUCUUCAUUCGAAGACGAAUGUUCCCAAGGGAGAGAUAAUGUAACACCCCAUAUGCUAGAAAACCAAAAGUGCAAAAUUUCAAAAGUUACAGGUGCCACCAACGGACCGUAGGGUGACCCACGGAGCAUAGGUGGGGUUCGUGAUUGGCCACCUGCAUCCCUCCCCAAAAUCUCAGAAAAAAAUUGUCUUAGAGUUGACCCACGACAAGACCUACAGAUCAUAGGUUAAAUCACGGGUCGUGGUCCUUUUCUGUGGAUCAAGACCCCCAGAACCCCUCUCUGAAGCCAGUCAACGACUGACAGGAUGGACCAUAGGUCAGUCAAUGGUCCGUUAGUUGGCCCCGAUAGCUUUUAAGUCAGGGUCAUUUUGGUCUUUUCCCUAUGCAUUGGACACAUAAACUACGUCGUUUAAACCCUAAGCUACGUCAUUUUGGCCAGGUUUGUCCUAGUAACUAAAUUACAACUUACCCUAGUCAAGUCAUUCUCCAAAAUUCAUCCAAUUUGAAUGAAAAGGAAAAGAAAGAGUCGACCAAUCCUCUCUAAGAACGCAACAAGGUUUCCUCCAGUUCCAGCCCUGAAAUCGAAAGAUUUCUCUGUGAAAUUCAUCACCAGGUAAGUGGGUUCCUUUCACUCAUUAGGUCCCUAGAAUUCAGUUAGAUUCUUGAAUAUUUAUAUCAUGUUUAGACUUAAGGUUUCUUGAACUUUAGAAAAGAGUUAUGAUUCAGCUGUUAGAGAAAUACUAAUUAGAUUAUCAUGUUUUUGAGGAAUUGUUGCUUAGCUUCUUGCAUGAAACUCAGAACUUUAGUUGUGUAGAUUCGUUUAGUUCAUGAAUUACACUUGCUAGGUCAAUCUUAUUCAGAUAUACAUGCUCCAGUUAAGAAUGUUUCAUUAUCAGUACAUUCAUGUUGCAUUUUCAGUUAGCAUGUCAGUAUUUGAGCUAUCCAGUUUAUAUUCAGUAAUGUUGUAUUGUAUACAUUAUAGUUGGGAGUAGGCUUAAUACCAAGUGGACUAUGGUCAGUCACCCUCAUAGUCCCAGAACUACGUACCCCAUAGGUUAAGUCCCUUUUGUGGGCAUCAUAUUUAGUGAUCACGCCAGUCAUGCCUUUAUACCCUGGCAAGGUAUAUUAGGUCCUCUUGAUGGGGCGUAUACAUCGGACUCCCGUUUAGCUCACGUAGUUUUAUGUCGGUUAUUAGUAGCUCCCACAGUCAGAUUCUAGUGCAUUGACCAGGUUACUAGUUAUAUUUCAGUAUUCAGUUUCAACAUGUUAUGUACUUGGUCAUUGCAUUCAGUUUAGUUCAUGUUUAGUAUGUUCAGUAUAUUCAUCAUGUUUAUCUUAUAUCAUUUCUCAGUAUGCUUAAUUUUAGUUAUUUAUAUGUUGUUCAGUUUUAUUUUAUCAUGCAUGCUCAAUACCUUUCAAGUACUGACGCAUACUCUGCGCUACAUCUUUUCGUGAUGUAGGUUCAUGUCCUCAACAUUUAGAUCACGCAUAGAUCGGUUUUCGAUCUCCAGUUCAACAGUAUCAAUGGUGAGUCCUUAUUCUUCGAGGAUGAAUGACAUGUUUUUUAUUCAGUCUUUCUUUGUUUUAGUUUCAGUUUUGCUAGAGCUAGCUGGGUCAUGUCCCAACAUCUCUAGUUAGUUAGAGGCUUUUAUUCAGUCAUAGUUAGAUUCAGUUUUAGAUUUGAGUUUGACCUUUCAUUUGUUAUUGAACUCUCAGUCUUUUAUAUAUUUAGACUUAGAAUGUGUAUUCCCCAUCAUUUCAUUAUAUAUCAUUUUUAAGCUUCCGCACCGUAUUUCUAUUUUUAGUAAAUCUUUAAGUAUGCUUAUGAUAUGCCAGUUCAGGGUUAGCUUGGGGUCACUCGUGAUUCUAGGUCCUGUGUUACGUCAACGGAGUAGCCUCGGGGCGUGACAUGUGUUUAGCUUGAAUCUCCUAAUAGGAGGUGGAACCCAUCUGAUGUGAACUUGGCAGAUAAGACUAGAAUUGGUCGACUGGUUAGAGAUAGUAAUGUAUUCCAUGAUUUUUUUCUUUUAUCAUUUUAAGGGAUGAGGAGGUAGUUUUAUUAUUAUAGACAUUAUUGUUUCUCUUUAUCCAAAUAUACCAUAAUGCAAAGGGGAGGAAAUCCAUCCAAGUAUAAUUAUCACUGUCAUUUAAAGGAGGUUUUAAUUCUUUUAGCGCAUGGAGCCAGUGAUAAUCAUGGGAGUGAGUAAGCUGGUGGGUAUUUAAACAAAAGUCUAACCAUAAAUUUUUAGAUGUGUGGCAGAGAAGAAAGAUAUGGACUGGGAUUUCAUUCUCCUAGUUGCAAAUAUGGCAGAUGGGAUCUUGAACUAUGCUCAGAUAGUGGAGGUAGGAUCAGGUAGGCAACUUGUUAUGCGCACAGAGCCAAAGAAGCAGGUUAAUUUUGUUAGGCAUGUGAAGAGACCAUAUCCAAUUGUUAAUAUUAGAAACUUGAAAGAAAAGAUAAGGUUCAGCAGAAGUGUUUUUUUCAUUCAUGCAGAUUUCAAUAGGCAUACACAAACAUAUAUCUACAUAAGCUUUUCCUAAGUUAGUAGAGGACCAUACCUAUACAAUCACUAUUGACUUUCUUACAAAACAUAUUCCAUAAAACAAGGACUACCUUGCCUUUACAUGCUAGGAUUUUGCUGUGAUUUUCUUUCCUUAUAUGAAGUUUAUUUUUUUCCUUAAAGAAAAGUUAAAGUAUUACUAUAAAUGCUUAAAUUUUUUCUAAAAGGAAAAUAUAAUUUUCUUCCAUAUUUGGUUUGUUCUUUCCUUAGAGGAAAAGUUUGGAGAUCUAUAAAUUAAAGAUUCCUUUUCUCAUAGCAAUACACAAUGGCUUCCACAAUGUAGACGCUUAAGAGUUUAGUUUAUGAGGAGAUUUAUUCUCUCAAUAGUUUUAAUAUUGUUUUCUUAUAUUAGUUUUUAUAUAAUAAUAUUAUGUUAUUAGUGUUUUUGUCGUCUGAUUUAUCAACCAUAUUGCAAUUGUAAGCUUCCGCAUGACGCCCUAAUCACUUUCGAACCCAACAAGUGGUAUCAAAGCACAUGGUUCAAUGAUCCAAUGGAACCAGGUUGAAGACAAAUUUAACGCGGUUUCAAAUCAAUUUGCAACAAAUUUGAUGAUAAUGAAGAGUUUUUCAAGCUACAUGUGGAGAAGAAGUUUCAAUCAUAUCUUCAACAUUCCUGUAGCUGCAAUUUUUAAAAAUAAAAAUAAAAUAUUUUAAAACCAUUUUUAACCCAUAUAUUUUAAACCUUAUUUUUAAUCAUGACAAGCAACAGUAAUGAAGAUUUUGUGAAGAACAAGAUUAUCAAGCAUAUGAAGAAGACGGAUCAAGUUUUGUCAAGAAAAUGUAGCCAAAAGGGGAGAUUUGUUAUGGUUUUACCCUGAUUUUCUUACCUUGUUUGAAGUUUAUUGUUUUCCUUAAAGAAAAGUUAAAGUAUUACCAUAAAUGCUUGAACUCUUUAUGAAAAAAAAUAAUAUUUUUCUUCCAGAUUUGGUUUAUUCUUUCCUUAGAGGAAAAGUUUGGAGAUCUAUAAAUUAAAGAUCCUUAUUCUCAUAGCAUAACACAAUAACUUCCACAAUGUAGACUUUUAAUAGUUUAGUGGAGAUUUAUUUUCUAAAUAGUUUUAAUAUUGUUCUCUUAUAUUAGUUUUCAUAUAAUAAUCUUAUGUUUUUAGUAUAAGUUUUUGUCGUUUGAUUUAUCAAUCAUAUGAUUUGCAAUUGUAAGCUUCCGCAUGACGCCCUAAUCACUUUCGAACCCAACAUUACAAACUAAACAUAAUAUUAAAAAAGGAACGAUUAAACAAAAGAUUAUCUAGAAAUAUCUCAUUUUCUAACAUUCCUCAUCGAGAUUUUUCUUGGAUACUCCCAACUUAUCCCUUAGAAGUUCAAAUUUCCCCUUAGGAAGAGCCUUGGUCAUAAUGUCUGCAAUCUAUUGAUCUGAGAUGCAAUGAGCAAGUUGAACUUCACCAUCCUUCUCUGCUUGCCUAAUAGCAUGAAACUUCACAUUCAUAUGCUUGCUAUGACCAUGUUGCACUGAAUUUUUGGCCAUAGAUAUUGCUGACUUGUUGUCAACCUAAAUGACAGUAGCUUCAAUGUCAUUUUGCUCCAGAUCACGUAGAAUCUUUCUUAACCAUAGAGCCUGAUUAGUUGCACCAGCAGCGGCUAUGUAUUCUGCUUUUGCAGAAGAUUGAGCUACCAUAUCUUGCUUUUGUGAAUUCCAUGAGAACAUGCCUGAACAAGUAUAAAAGCAUAUCCAUAAGUGAUUUUCAUAUCAUUAACGCUUCCUGCCUAAUCACUAUCUGAAUAACCCAUCAGUUGCCCUUACUUUUCCCUUUUAAACCAAAUACCAUAAUCAAUAGUUCCUUUGAUAUAUCUCAACGUUCGUUUAGAAACACCAAGAUGAACUUGACUUGGAGCUUGCAAAAACCUCAAAAUUAGAGUUGCCACGAAUAUGAGAUCAGGUCUUGUUAUUGUCAAAUACAACAGACUACCAAUCAAACUUCUAUAAACUAUUGGAUCAUCCCUAUCAUCUCCUUCAAACUUCGAAAUCUUUUCAUUGUGAAAUAGUGGGGUUGGUACAUGCUUGUAUUUCCCCAUAUUGAACAUUUUAAGAAUAUCUCAUGCAUAUUUUCUCUAGGAAAUGAAGAUUCCAUCAGUAGCUUGAUGAAUCUCCAUUCCCAGAAAGAAACUCAUUUCACCCAAAUCUGACAUGUCAAACUUGGUCUCCAUUUCUCGCAUGAACUAAUUUACCAUUGCUUCAUUGCUUCCUAUUACCAGAAGAUCAUCAACAUAGAGUGACACCACAAGUACAUCUCCUUCUUUAGCCCUCUUCACAUAUAAAGUGGCUUCAUUUUCAUUUCUCUUGAAGCCAAAAUGAAUGAGAUGAUCAUCAAUCUUAUUGUACCAAGCUCGAGGAGCCUUGAUUUAAUCAAUACAAUGCUUUAUGAAGUUUGUAGACUUUAUCCUCGCUUCCUGCAACUUGAAAGCAUUCUGGUUGGUCGACAUAAAUUUCCUCAUGUCCAUCUAAGAAUGUCGAUUUCACAUCCAGAUGAUACAACUUCCAAUUAGACUGAGCUGCCAAAGAAAAUAGAAGCCUUAUUGUAUCAUGUUGUGCAACAGGUGCAAAUGUGUCUCCAUAAUCCAGACCUGGAACUUGCACACAACCUUUCACAACAAGCCUUGCUUUGUAUUUAUAAACUGUCCUAUCUGGAUUAAGUUUGGUUCUAUAAACCCACUUCACCCCAGUUACAUUUCUAUUUUUGGGUUUAUCAACCAACUUCCAAAUAUCAUUCUUCUUUAUCAUACCAAUCUCAUCCUUCAUAGCUUCAAUCCAAAAUUCAUGUCUUGAUGCUUCUUGAUAGCUAUUUGGUUCUGAGAUUGCAACAUUACAUCUUUCAUAUAUCUUUGAAAGGAACCUUGUCUUCAAAAUUGCCGAAUCAAGUGAGGAUUCCCCGUCUGAUUCUUCAUUUUCUUCCAAAUUUUCAAAGCCAAAUAAUUGGAUUUUAGGCAGCGGACUCAAGUUCUGAAAAUUUGCAUUAUCUUUCUCAAUUUGCUCCUUACCCCAGUUUCAAUAAGUAUGCUGAUCCACGACUAUAUCUCUUCGGAUUGAAAUACUUUUUUUUUGCAAUUUGAAAAAUCUAUAACCCUUGGCUUGUGAAGAAUAAUCAAUAAAGAUCCUCAAUUCACUUUUUGGUUCAAGUUUGCUUCUUUUGACAGAAGGAAUAUGAAAGGAAUAUGAGAACAAGAUAUUGACCCAAAAACUUUUAGAUGUUUGGCAGAUGGUUGUAUUGCACUCCAUGCCUCAACCGGUGUCUUUUCAUCCAUAUCUUUUGUUGGUAGCUUAUUUAACAAAUAAACUGAAGUAUUAAUAACUUCUGCCCAAAAUCUUCGUGGCAGUUUCUUUUCCAGCAACAAACAUCUAGCCAUUUCAACUAUUGUUCUGUUCUUGCUCUAUGAGACUUCAUUUUGUUCAGGUGAAUAGCUUACUGUCAACUUUUGAUUAAUCCCCAUAUUUUCACAAUACUUAAGGCACUGCUGAACUAUUCUUCCACUCAAUAACUGGCUCAUUAGGAAACUGGAACUUAACAACUUGAGUUCUACAAUCAACUGAGGCAUAACAGACAUGAAGCCAUUCCAUACCUAGAAUAACAACAAAAUCUACCAUGUCUAACUCAACUAAGUCAACCAUGGUGUCCUUGUGAUUGAAAGAAACGACACAAUCACAAUAAACUCUCUCAGCUAGAAUAGACUCACCAAUAGGUGUAGAAAUAAUGAAGGGAUCAAGAAAUUGCUCAGGAAGAAUAUUAAAAUUCAUAGCAAUAUAAGGAGUCACAAAAUAUAGACUCACUCCUGGAUCUAGCAAAGCAUAUACAUCAAAAGUAAAGACUUUGAUCAUACAUGUGACAACAUCUAGUGAAUUCGAAUUCUCUUGCUCUUGGCGACUGGUGAUAGCAUACAUACAGUUUGCUCCACCGCCUGUCCCCGAAGUAGCUCCUCUAGGUGCAGCUCUAUCUGAUGGAGUCGCUGAAGAAGAUUGGGUUCGAUUGCUCCCAUUACCACCACCUUGCAUGUUCUUAGGGCACUCUUUCAUGAAGUGACUAUUCUGACCACACUUGAAGCAACCAGUGGAGCCAUCACAACACACUCUUGACUGGUUCCUACCACACUUAGCACAUGCACGAGUCCCAUUACCUCCUUGUGCCAUACUUUCUUGAGACUAUGCAGAUCUAGCUCUGAAAUUUUGCGAACUCUGAUUCUUGAACUUACCUCUGUUCUUUGGUGUAGGUGCACUAGCAGGUGAUGGAGCAGAUCCCUUUGGCUUUGUUUGAAAGGAGGACCGACUUGCAUUACUAUUCUGCUGCCCGGACUCAUUUCCUGAUGUAUUAGUCUUCUUGUUUCGAAAAUCUUCUCUCUCUCUCAGCUUAUCUUCCUCAACCUAUUGCACAUGGAUCAUCAACCUUGUUAUGUCCACGCCCCUAUCAACAUAGCCGCCUUGUCGUCCUUACUUGACAGGUGAGACAACUCAGAUAAAAACUAGCUCAUCUUGCUCUUCAUAUCAGCAACCAUCUCCGGAGCAUAACGGGACAGUUGAGGGAACCUAAGGCUAAAGUCAUGCACACUCAUAGAUUCCUACUUAAGAGUGAGGAAUUCCCUUACCUUUGCCUCUCUUAAUUCACGGGGAAAGAAACGCAUUAAGGAGGUCUCCUCAAACAUAGUCCAGCUCACAAAUGGUGCACCUUCAUCUCUAUUCUUCUCCCAUUGGUCAAACCACACUCUAUAAACACCCUUCAGUAGGAAUGCGGGUAGUUCCUCGUGCUCAACAUUAGCAACAUGCAUCACUUCAAACACUUUCUGUAACUCUUCCAUAAAUUUCUCUUGAUCCUCAGUGAUACUUGAGCCGGUGAAGACUGGAGGAUUCAUCCUUAAAUACACACGAAUUCUGGACAUAUCAGCCACAUCCUAUCGAACCCCUCUCUGUUACCCAGCUUGGUCGGUCACCACUUGACUCAAAAUUUGAAUAGCAUCCCAGAAUUCAACAUUAGUGACCUCUCCUUGGGGUUACACUUCAGGUGCAUUGGGUAACCCUUGAUCCCAAGGUUCAACAUUUCUCCUAAAGGGAUGACCUUGAAUAGCUUUUUGUGGAGGCAUGAUCUGAAAUAUACGCGCAAGCACAAAUUACAAAGAAACUUUAUAGAGUUUAACUCUAUCGCACGAAAAGAAUAUGAAAGAAGUGAGAUACUUCCUAAAUGUUGCAGCCUCCUAAUUAUAGAUGUGGCGCACUUCACACCGAUAACUAGGAUUCUACAGACAUGGCUUCAUAGACACCCUAGGACUCUUGAACUCUGUGUUCUGACACCAAGUUUGUCAUGUCUCGAGCCUACACCCUGGACGCGACUGGCACUCGAGAACCAUUGUUGGCCCCAAGCGAACCCUUGGCCUGGCUCAACUCGCAGGGAAGACUUACUCAUCUAUAAAAAAAACUCAAAGGAAAAUUGUAAAUCAAAUGUAUUAAUAUAAAUACUCAGAGUAUUUUAGAAAUAACAUUCACCGGCCAAAAGAGGCAACUCAAGUCUCAACAUUUAAUAAUGGAAUGAAAAAGACUCAAGAACUAAUUUUGUCUAUCUAUGAAGCCACUACUAACUGAGAUGGACAUCGGGACAAGACCCCCAAUCAUACUAACUGAAAUAACAUGAUAGAAAUAAAUGAGGGAUCCUCCGGAAGCAAGGAGGCUGACCAAACAACUCUGGAACUGCAAAUGGUAUCAAGGAAUCGCCUAUUGAUAAUCCUAAUCUCCUGUAUCUGCAUCAUAAAAGGUUCAGGCCAAAUGACGUCAGUACAUGGAAUGUACGAGCAUGCAUGGGUAAAUCUAAAAUAUCACAAAGCUUGAACUGUAACUGAAGAAACAACUUACCACGUCUCACCUCAACUCAACUCAAAGAUACUCAAACUUACUCAACUCAGUUCCAUAUAAAGCAGUAGUAAAAUGAAUUAUAAAGAAAGAUUUUAAACAAUAGAUAACAACUCAAUGUAUUGUAAAAUACAAUAAUAACUCAGUUUUUAUAUAAAAUACAAAAUAACUCUGUUUUGCAGAUUCUCUAACCGACAACCAUAACUAUGAGUUAUGUGAUGAUACAUCGUCUCACCCACGCCGCCAGAACUGUCCUAUACUUUGUUGGGGUAUAGGACCCACUCACUAAAUGGAUCCACUAAGCUAUGCUUAAAAAGAAAUAAGGAAUCAUCUAAAAAGUAUGACCCUUUAUACCACGUACUUUGGCUACAUGGUUUAUGAUGACUUUGAGUUAUCUAAACUCAUCCCCAUAUUGGUGCUCAAUAAUACUCUCAAAAUAUAACUUAGCUCAUAUGUUUAAAAACAUUUCUCUUCCUAUAGUUUGAGAUAAUUACUCAAUAGAUUUCUUUAAAAAGAGAUAGUACUCAAGACUCCUCUUAAACUUCUUUGGAAAUCAUAGUUUCCUCCUCUUUUAAAUGUAAGAACAUUUACUCUUGGGAAUACUUAGUUCCCAUAUAUUCAUUUUGAAAAAUAAACUCAAGCUUACUCAUCCUCAUACUCAAAUACUGAAGUCUUAAAACAAGUUUGAAAAGAUUGUAAAAGACUUCUGCAAAUGACUCGAAAGAACUCUCAAGACUUAACUCUUAACUCUACCUUGAAUUUGAAUUAUGAAUUCAAGGUUAUAAAUAAUUUUAUGAGUGAUCUCUUGAUGUAUAUAUGUAGUUUAGAGUGUGUAUAUCAAGUAGAAAACAUAGGUAUGAUUCUAGGGAACUCACAAACAAAGAAGGACAGAAAGGUAGGGACCUGGCGACCCUGGCGCACUGAUUAGCGCAGGGAGCCAACCUUUGAACUACUGAAGGUGGGUUGGGGAACGCUGAGUAGCGUGGCACCCAAGGACCCAAACUACAGAAUCUUACUUGGGGACCCUAUGCCCAGUUUUUGACGACUUUUCUUGUUCUUCAUCAUGUUUUAACUCCUCUAAAAUUAAACGAUUUCCCUCAAACUCUUAUGGAUUGAUAAACCCAAUAUAAUUGCAAUGAAAUUCACCUUAAAUUACUCAAGAAGAAUACUCCAACACAAAAUCCUCAUCACAAGAACUCAACGAAACCUCAUACUUAAAGAAUGGGUCACAAACUUCAAGAAACUCAUCAAGAAUUCAUCAAGAACUCAAAUCUGCUCAAUCUUAUAGAUGAAAUUAGAAUAUGUAAAUCAUGAUUGGCGUGUGGGUGAACGAACCCAACACUAUGAAAACUUACAUACCUUGAUUUGGCAAAAUCCCUCAAAAAUCUCCCGAAUCUUGACGAACGCCUUAAACUUUUCUCCUUUUCUCCUCUUCUUGAACACCUUUCAAAACCCUAAGCGUAUUUGGGAUUAUGAAAACUGACCCAUAUCAGAUUUGACCCCAAAAGUAUUACUAAAUUCGUUUUAAGCUGAAAGGGUAAGGAAAAGACCAAAAUACCCUUAAAAUUUUUGGGUAACUUUCCUUAACUGGACAGACAGAUUUCAAACGGUCAUAUCUCCCUCAUACAAACUCAAAACUUAGAAAACUCGGUGGCGUUGGAAAGAGGAUUCCAAGACCUUUCAUUUGAUAUCUUAUGAGUCAUAUAACUCAUCUUGUACCGAAAGUUAUAGUCAUUUGAAGUUGACCCAAAACUCAUAACUUAGCAUAACUUGCCAAAAUUUUCAAUCUGACUCUUACCAAAAUAGUUCUUUCUAAACCUAGCUCUUUCUAAGGCAGGAUGUGACAUAUUACAUGAGCCAUUUACAGUAUCGACUCCAGUAGGAGAAUCUAUUAUAACUAGAAAGGUCUAUUAUAGGUGCCUAGUAAGAAUAUGUGGCCGUGACACAUUGACAAAUUUGAUAGAGCUAGAAAUGGUUGAUUUUGAUGUCAUUAUGGGCAUGGAUUGGUUGUCGUCUUGUUAUGCUACGGUUGAUUGCCGAGCUAAAGUUACUCGAUUCCAUUUCCCAGGCGAGCCAGUCUUAGUGUGGAAAGGCAAUGCUAUGAUGCCUAGAGGAAACUUUAUUUACUAUCUUUAGGCACAAAAGAUUUUAGAUAAAGGGUGUUUAUAUCACCUUGUCCAUGUAAGAGACCUUGAAGCUGAGAACCAGGUGGCGAUUCUUCAAUCUGUGCCCGUUGUGAAUGAAUAUCCAGAUGUGUUUCCUGACGAACUUCCUGGACUACCUCUAAUUAGAGAGAUUGAUUUUGGUAUUGAUGUAGAUCCCGGUAUCCAGCCUAUAUCUAUUUCGCCUUAUAGAAUAGCGGCAGCAGAAUUGAAAGAGCUAAAUGAGCAUCUGAAAGAUUUGCUUGAUAAAGGUUUCAUUCACCCCAGCAUAUCGCCUUAGGGUGCUCAAGUACUAUUUGUACGCAAGAAGGAUGGCACAAUGCGAACGUGUAUAGAUUGCAUGAUGUUUAAUAAAGUGAUGAUAAAGAACAAAUACCCCCUUCCAAGGAUAGAUGAUUUAUUUUAUCAUUUGCAAGGGUCUAAGUGCUUUUCAAAGAUCAAAUUGAGAUCUGGAUAUCAUUAGCUGAAGAUUCGAGAAGUAGAUAUUCCUAAAACAACCUUCAGAACGAGAUAUGGACACUUUGAGUUCCUCGUCAUGUCAUUUGGACUAACAAAUGCUCCAACAGCCUUUAUAGAUAUGAUGAAUAAGGUUAUCAAACCCUUGCUUUAUAUGUAUGUGAUUGUAUUUAUAGAUGACAUCUUGAUAUAUUCACGGGAUGCCAGAGAACAUGCAAAUCAUCGGAGAGUUGUCCUAUAAACACUCAGAGCGCACCAACUAUAUGCCAAGUUUUCUAAAUGUGAAUUCGAGAUGAACUCUGUGGCUUUUCUUGGCCAUGUGGUCUCUGGUGAAGGCAUUAUAGUAGAUUUCCAAAAGAUUGAGGUUGUAAAGAGUUGGCCUCGGAGGUGUGUAGUUUCUUGGGACUGGCUGGAUAUUACCGAAGGUUUGUAGAGGGAUUCUCCUCUAUUUUUGCACCAUUGACAAUGUUGACGAAGAAGGCAGUGAAGUUCUAGUGGUCCGACGCGUGUGAGAAAAACAUCCAAGAGCUUAAAGAUCGAUUGACUAAGGCGCCAAUAUUGGCCUUACCAGAGGGUACAUAAGGAUAUGUAAUUUAUUGUGAUGCUUCAGGCAUUGUCCUAGGAUGCGUCUUAAUGCAGCAUGAGAAGGUGAUAGCAUACGCUUCUCAACAAUUGAAGAAACAUGAACAAAACUACCCCACUCAUGAUUUGGAGCUCGCUGCAGUGGUAUUUGUGCUAAAGAUUUUGUGGCACUAUUUGUAUGAGGUACAUGUUAAUACAUUUACAAAUCAUAAGAGUCUCCAGUAACUUUUCAAGCAAGAAGACUUGAAUAUCAGAGAAGGUGGCUAGAGUUGUUGAAGGACUAUGAUGUAAACAUUCUCUACCACCCAAUAAAGCUAACGUGGUAGAAAAUGCUCUUAGUCGACUAUCUACGAGCAAUAUAGUACAUUUACCAUGUGUACAACAGGAAGUAGCACGAGAUGUUCACAAAUUAGCCAGCUUAGGAGUCCAAAUUCUAGAACCCGAAGAUGGAGGUAUAGUCGUACAUAAUAGUGCCGAAUCAUCAUUAGUGGCAUUGGUGAACAAAAAAUAGUAUGACGAUCUAAUAUUUAUACAGUAUCGAGAAAUGAUUCGUGAGCACCGAAUUACUGGAUUCGAGUUAGUAGGAGAUGGCACCUUGAGAUGCCAAAGCAGACUAUGUGUUCCAAAUAUAGAAAGGUUAAGGCAGAAAAUCGUGGAUGAAGCACAUUGUUCCUGAUAAUGAAUUCAUCCAGGCUCCACAAAGAUGUAUCAUGACCUUAAGGAGGUAUACUGGUGGAAUGACAUGAAAAGGAAUAUUGCGGAAUACGUGGUACAAUGCUCCAAUUGCCAACAAGUUAAAACAGAACAUCAGAGGCCCGGUGGCCUAGCUCAGACUAUGAACAUUCCAAUAUGGAAAUGAAAGGUUAUUAAUAUGGAUUUCAUUACAUGUUUUCCUUUCUCUUUUAAGAGACAUGAUUCCAUUUGGGUGAUCAUUGAUCGGUUGACGAAAUCAGCCCACUUCUAGCUAGUUAAAUCCAACAACAAUGCCGAAGAGUAUGCCAAGCUUGAUAGAAUUUGCCCUACAAUAAUAGCUAUCAUUUAAGCAUUUGAAGCCCCUUAUGGGCGUCGGUGCAGAUUUCCUAUUGGUUGGUUUGAAAUAGGUGAAACUCAAAUAUUAGGACCAUACUUUGUUAACCAAGCCGUUGAAAAAGUAAAGUUGAUACAAGAGCGACUGAAGACAGCUCAGAGCCAAUAAAAAUCAUAUGCAAACGUACGCCGUAGAGACAUAGAGUUUCAGGUUGAUGACUGGGUAUUCUUGAAGGUAUCCCCUAUGAAGGGCGUUAUGAGAAUUGGGAGGAAAGGUAAGUUGAGCCCCAGGUAUAGAGGGCCAUAUAAAGUUAUACAUAGAAUUGGCCAAGUAACCUAUGAGGUGGAUUUGCCUCGAGAGUUAGCUGUAGUACACCCGUUCUUCCAUGUGUCGAUGUUACGCAAAUUCUUGGGAGAUCCUACACAGGUUAUUCCCAUAGAAGGUAUGGAACUCUUAGAACAUUAUUGUGUGAGGAAGUCCCUGUGGCAAUAUUAGACUGACAGGUUAGGAAGUUAAGGACAAAAGAUGUAGCAUCAAUCAAGGUACUUUGGAGAAGUCAGAAUAUAAAAGAAGCCACUUGGGAAACAGAGGCUGACAUGAGGGCCAAGUAUUCCCACUUAUUUCAGUAGCCACACAAAGGUUCUUAAAGUCAUAACUCCUUUCAUUUGAGUAUCAGUUUUGUCUAUACUUUGUAGCACUGCUUUAUUAUAUGUUAUAUGUUCAGGUACUUGAUACAGACACCACAUAUCCCUCAGAGUUGAAACGUCCAUAGUAUAAGGUAUGUUAUAUUAGUUAGUGCAGUUUCCAUUUGUAUAAGGCCAAUCAUGGCCUAGUGGAUAUCCGUUGCAUAUUAUUGUGUGGUGAUGCUUUAUGAAGCAAUGUGUAUAUUUUGGUUAGCUGACAGGUUUUGGAUAGGCCUAUUUACAAAGGAAACUAUGCCAAUUUUUUUCUAAAAAAAUAAUACAAUUUUUAUCAUCUUAAGGAGCUGCCUUCAUUCGAGGACGAAUGAUCCAAAAGGGGGGGGAUAAUGUAAUACCCCGUAACUUAAAAUACAUUUGUGACUCAUAAACACCAAUGCAUAGGUGUGAUAUUGGGGGAAGUAUAUCAUUGAAGAUGGUUAACCAUACCAUGUAACCCUUAUAUUUAGUCAUUUGAAGGGUUAAACAAAAGUUUUAGGCCAAAGAGAUCAUUAAAGAAAAGAUUCAAGUUUAAAGGCUCAUUGUGGAGGAAUACUACAAAUGAUCUCAUUUCUCAAUUGACUUUGAACAAGCAUAUCACCUAAUAUAUGAGGGGUUAGAGGACCUACAACAUAUCAAAUCAAAGGUAUUUGAGUCUAGUUUCCAGAAAAACAAACCGCUCGUUAAAACAAUAUUGGAGUAAAAAGUAAUGUUCAUUCUACAAUGUACGUGUGCACUGCCCAAUCUUUGCGGGACAUGUGGGACUUAAGAGAAAGUCGGCCAAUUGUUUUUAUAUUAGAAGUUUGGGAUAUCCUUUCCCAUAUACUCAAGAACGUGUAAGAACUGGUUUCAAGUUAUUUCUUCAAGUUUUUCUCAUCUCCAAACCUCUAAAGCUUAAGGUAAGUUGGUUUCUUCAAGAAUUAAGUAUUUUCCUCUCCAUACAAUUAUAGAUAUACUUUGCUAAAUUUUUUCUUGAAAGAAAAAGUAUUGUUCUUGAAGAAUAAAAAGGGCAGGGGCUGCUUUUCAUGGAUAUAUAGUUAUGACUCCUCUUCUAUCUCCAUAAAAAGUAUUCUAAGGAUGCUUUAAGUAUAAUUUGCGGGAAGGACUCACGGGACGGUGAUAGGAAGCCAUGAGUCCAUGUUUUAGCCAUGGUAGUUGAUGUUUUGGUGAGGAGGGAGUUUGUAGAAGGUUGUGUUGGUUGUUGUUUUGACCAAACAAAGGGUGAAUGGUAUUGUAUUGGGGCAGUAAGCUGGUUACGAUAAAAUUGAAGGCUAGGUAUAGAAAACGCAACUCUUAUAGUUCUUGAAAGCUUGUCGCUUACCAAUUAUUUGAUGAAAUGCCUAAAUUGCUAAGAAUAUGUUGUUGCUGGUCACUACUAGAAAUUCGUUGUUUGCCGAUUACAAAAUUAGCCGGAAUGUAGUCGGAAAAUGGGGUUUGCCGAUUACCUUCCGAUUACUUUAUAGUAGUUGGUAAUUCUUUACCGACUACAGUAGUCAGCAUUUGCCGACUACGGUAGUUGGAAAAUAUAAAACAAGAACCGACCAUAAAGUACCUAAAUUGCCGACUAUUGUAGUCCGAAACUAUUAAAAUAAUAAUUUAAUAAUUAAAACAAUGCCGACUACAGUAAUCGUAAUACUUCAACAAUUAAAUAAUUAAUUAAUAUAUAUUUCGACUAUUGUGGUCGGCAUAUAAUUUAUUUGUUAAUCAUUUAAGUACUUUUUCGACUACUACAGUUGGUAUACAUAAUUAAUUUAUUCACUAUUUAGGUAAUCUGCCGAUUACUGUAGUCGGCAAUUUUAAUUUUCUAAAAAAAAUUAUAUGAUAUUGCAUACUAUUGUAGUCGAAAAAACUACAUUUUACUACUGAAAACUGUUGUUUCUUUGGUAGACCACCUGCUAAAUUAAUACUAUCAUCCAUCCACAAAAACUCAACAAUAAAAUCAAACAUCGAAUACAUUUCUAAACAUUCAAAUUGCAUUCAAUUCAAUUGAGUCUAAAAGCUCAAGCAUCAUCAAAAUCAAGUCUAAUAAGUAUUAAGUUGUUAUUCAAAAAGGAAGUAAAUAGUUCAAAACACGUCUAAAUCUCAUAGAAAAUGUCUAAACAACCAUAAAACAAUCUACUAUUCAUCAGAGUCGGUCCCUUCACUUUCAUCAGAUUCAGCCAUAUGUUUCUCCAUGAAUUUCUGCACUUUAGCAAAGUUAGCUUCAGAUGAUUGAAGUCGUUCUAUAAGCUCUGAAAUUUGUCUUCGCAUUGCUUCCAUUUCUUCCGAAGAUUGAGAAGUAGAAGCACCAGACAACAAUGAUGAUGGAUGAAACGAGGAAAGUUGUGCUCCAAACCCGUAAACUCUACCUUUCUUCACACCUCCUGCCACAUUUGUCCAUAUUGAUGUAAUAUCACUAGAUGAUGUGGAAUCAGCCUCUGAAGUGGGAUGUGCCUGACGCCAUUCAUCCAAGCCUCUCUUAAAUCCAACCUGAAAUAAAUGUAUUUAUAAAUCAAUAAUCUUAUUUCUUUCAGACAUAAUACAUAAUUAAGUAAAAAGAGACGACCAUCAAAAAGGAGGAAAAGAAUUAAACAUGUUUCCCUUCAAUGAAGCAAAAGUUUCAUAGGCAUUUCUCUGGUUACAGCUUGCAGCCUCUGAACAAAUUAUUUCAGCAUCUGGCUGAAAUCGUGCUAGAAAUUUUCAACCAUGUUAGAGGUGCCUUGAAGUAGUAUGAAAUUAAUAAAAGGCCUAAAGCUACUUUCAAUGCUCAUGGUGUAUACCUUACUACAUCUCAAGCAUCUCUAAAGAAACUACUAUUAUAGACAUCAGAUCCUGUACUUUUGUUAAUACAACCUUUUAUUACCUCAUUUCUAGUAAAAGUUUCAAGUAGUUGCACCUAUUGAUAUACAGAUAACUGAUUUCCACGAUUUCCAUUUUUUAAGAACACUUCUUCAGCAUUUUGUUUUUGUCCAACUUCCCUUUCCCCUAAUAGUUGAGAAAAAUGCCUUAAAAUAUAGUAGUGAUCUGUUCAGAUUAAGUCUGCAUCUGGAUGUUCUCAUCUUGAAACUGAAAAUUGUUUUUCGAAGCCUUUUCUAUUUGACAAUGGAAUGAAAAUAUUGAUUAUUAUCAUUCCCUAGUCUCAACCAAAUUGUUUUGCUUCUUUGAAUCAACAUCACUUCUGUCAAGUAGCUCACCCUUUUAAAUUCCUUAUCAAUUUCUAUUUCCUCCUGUUGUUUUAGCUUAUUGUGCCACGUACAAC